RNAcentral lists this long non-coding RNA (109 nucleotides) under Phascolarctos cinereus (koala). RNAcentral describes it as "lncRNA (ENSPCIG00000033628.1)". The record is from RNAcentral. Lineage: Eukaryota; Metazoa; Chordata; Mammalia; Diprotodontia; Phascolarctidae.
GUUGUUUUCACAUUUGACAUUCAUUGGCUGGGAAUGAAAAAUGAAUGUUGGACCUUUGAACACAGAUUUCCUUCCUUUUUCAAGAAUUCCUAAGCAUUCUAACUUACCC